UACGUAGGGUCCGAGCGUUGUCCGGAAUUACUGGGCGUAAAGAGCUCGUAGGUGGUUUGUCGCGUUGUUCGUGAAAACUCACAGCUCAACUGUGGGCGUGCGGGCGAUACGGGCAGACUAGAGUACUGCAGGGGAGACUGGAAUUCCUGGUGUAGAGGUGGAAUGCGCAGAUAUCAGGAGGAACACCGGUGGCGAAGGCGGGUCUCUGGGCAGUAACUGACGCUGAGGAGCGAAAGCGUGGGGAGCAAACAGG
RNAcentral lists this ribosomal RNA (253 nucleotides) under uncultured bacterium. Its description in RNAcentral is "partial 16S ribosomal RNA". It matches the Rfam family "Bacterial small subunit ribosomal RNA", at positions 524 to 776 of the family's 1533-position model. The record is from RNAcentral.